UGGGGAAUAUUGCACAAUGGGGGAAGACCCUGAUGCAGCGACGCCGCGUGAGCGAUGAAGUAUUUCGGUAUGUAAAGCUCUAUCAGCAGGGAAGAAAAUGACGGUACCUGACUAAGAAGCCCCGGCUAACUACGUGCCAGCAGCCGCGGUAAUACGUAGGGGCGAAGCGUUAUCCGGAUUUACUGGGUGUAAAGGGAGCGUAGACGGCGGUGCAAGCCAGAUGUGAAAGCCCGGGGCUCAACCCCGGAGCUGCGAUUUGGAACUGUAUAGCUGGAGUGUCGGAGAGGCAGGCGGAAUUCCUAGUGUAGCGGUGAAAUGCGUAGAUAUUAGGAGGAACACCAGUGGCGAAGGCGGCCUGCUGGACUGUAACUGACGUUGAGGCUCGAAAGCGUGGGGAGCAAACAGGAUUAGAUACCC
RNAcentral lists this ribosomal RNA (417 nucleotides) under uncultured bacterium. RNAcentral's name for it is "bacterial SSU rRNA". It matches the Rfam family "Bacterial small subunit ribosomal RNA", at positions 355 to 787 of the family's 1533-position model. The record is from RNAcentral.